UCCGGUGUAGCUCAGUGGUAGAGCAGUUGACUGUUAAUCAAUUGGUCGUUGGUUCGAACCCAUCCACCGGAGCCA
RNAcentral lists this transfer RNA (75 nucleotides) under Paracoccaceae bacterium. RNAcentral's name for it is "Rhodobacteraceae bacterium tRNA-Asn". It matches the Rfam family "tRNA". From Rfam's summary of the family: Transfer RNA (tRNA) molecules are approximately 80 nucleotides in length. Their secondary structure includes four short double-helical elements and three loops (D, anti-codon, and T loops). The record is from RNAcentral. Lineage: Bacteria; Pseudomonadati; Pseudomonadota; Alphaproteobacteria; Rhodobacterales; Paracoccaceae.